UCAGUGGAGAAGGUUUUGAAGGCCAUGGCCGGGCUGCCCCGAAGCGACUUUGCUGAGAUGAUUCGCCAGGGUAAUGGCACCUUCAACUCCAUCCCGGAGCUGGCCGUGGAGAGGAUGGCACAGGUCAUCCAGGAUCUGCGGGAGGAGCUGUCCCACACAGCACAGAAGGUGCAGUCCAUCGCUGACAGCUUCCCCCUCCCCGACUACACCCGGCCCGCCAGCGAAGCCCUGGUGACGGCGGAGGAG
Long non-coding RNA from Empidonax traillii (willow flycatcher), 246 nucleotides. RefSeq lists it as uncharacterized. Lineage: Eukaryota; Metazoa; Chordata; Aves; Passeriformes; Tyrannidae. The record is from RefSeq and is a predicted model, not a curated record. The transcript has 3 exons.